AGCCCGGAGAUGGAUUCUGAGACACGAAUCCAGGCCCUACGGGGUGCAGCAGGCGCGAACACUUUACAAUGCGGGAAGCCGCGAUAAGGGAACCCCGAGUGCCAGCAUCAAAUGUUGGCUGUCCAGAUGAUUAAAAAUCAUUUGUUAGCAAGGGCCGGGCAAGACCGGUGCCAGCCGCCGCGGUAACACCGGCGGCCCGAGUGGUAGCCGUUUUUAUUGGGUCUAAAGGGUCCGUAGCCGGCCUGAUAAGUCCUUUGGGAAAUCUGGCAGCUUAACUGUCAGGCUUCUAAGGGAUACUGUCAGGCUUGGGACCGGAAGAGGUAAGGGGUACUCCAGGGGUAGGAGUGAAAUCUUGUAAUNCCCUGGGGGACCAUCUGUGGCGAAGGCGCCUUACCAGAACGGGUCCGACGGUGAGGGACGAAAGCUAGGGGAGCAAACCGGAUUAGAUACCCGGGUAGUCCUAGCUGUAAACGAUGCUCGCUAGGUGUCAGACACGGUGCGACCGUGUUUGGUGCCGNCAGGGAAGCCGUUAAGCGAGCCACCUGGGAAGUACGGUCGCAAGGCUGAAACUUAAAGGAAUUGGCGGGGGAGCAC
Molecule: ribosomal RNA, 594 nt
Filed under: uncultured archaeon
Lineage: Archaea
Description: bacterial SSU rRNA
Rfam family: Archaeal small subunit ribosomal RNA
Source: RNAcentral